AUCUAAUUUAACUUUUUUUUUUUUUUUAAUAUACUCUCUGCCAGCAACUCUCUGCAAGGUCCUAAGGGUUCUAAGUUGAAUAAGGCCCACUCCCUCCCUUCCAGGACUUUAGCUGAGGUUGGUUGGGGCAGAAGUCGGGCAAGACUCAUCGGAACGGAUUAACAGAGACAGAAUCCAGAGGCAACGGGGUGAAUUCCAAGUAUAGAAAAGACACACUUGGUCUGAGGGUAUGUUUCAGCUCAGGCAUGCUGCCAUCAGGACCACGUAAAGCUGGAUUUUUCUACGCUAGUCCAUUUGCACGAUCUGGACUCAGAAGAGAUUUAAGUUUCAAAUCUGGCUUUGUCAGUUAAUGCUUGUGGGAUCUCAACCACGUCACUGACUUCUCUGAGCAUGCUUCCAUAUUUCUACAAAGGAAACAAUAGGUGACUCUGCUGAGUUGAGCACUUGCGAGUACCAAGCAGUGAGGACCUGAGGCACAGAUGCUAACCAGCUUGCUGGAGAUCACACACUCAUGAGUGGCAGAGUGGGGCUUGGAACCGGGUAGCCUGGCUCUGGAGCCCUCACUCCAUCCACACACCAUGCUGGGACCCAGUCGAGUGACCAGCAGACCGGUUGUGUGGGUUAGGUGGAAUGGUGGAUAUAAACCACACAGCCCAGCUCCUGACCCAUGCUGGGCCCUCAUUCCUCCUGAAUUCCUUCUCAUUCCUGCCGCCUUCUGAAGAAGGUGCCUUGCUUCCCCUUCACCUUCUGCCGUGAUUGUAACUUUCCUGAGGCCUCCCCAGCCAUGC
This 788-nucleotide long non-coding RNA is filed under the name Homo sapiens (human). RNAcentral's name for it is "non-protein coding LINC00486:6". The record is from RNAcentral. Lineage: Eukaryota; Metazoa; Chordata; Mammalia; Primates; Hominidae.